This is a long non-coding RNA of Parus major (Great Tit), 1008 nucleotides long. The record is from Ensembl. Lineage: Eukaryota; Metazoa; Chordata; Aves; Passeriformes; Paridae.
UGUGGCCGCAGAUCCAGAUGUGGAGCCCCUCAGAAUGACCCAAAAGGUCCCAGAAACUCCAGAUGUGGCCGCAGAUCCAGAUGUUGCCGGCCCCAAAAUCCGGUGCCGGGUGGAGAGUGACACAGACGUGGAGGAGGAUCCAGAUGUGGAGCCCCCAAAAAGGCUCAAAAUGACCCAAAAGGUCCCAGGAACUCCAGAUGUGGCCACAGAUCCAGAUGUGGAGCCCCCAAAAAGGCUGAAAAUUACCCAAAACAUCCCAGGAACUCCAGAUGUGGCCGCAGAUCCAGAUGUGGAGCUCCUCAAAAUGACCCAAAACCUCCCAGAAAUUCCAGAUGUGGCUACAAAGCCAAAUCCAGAUGUUGCCGGCCCCAAAAUCAGGUGCCAGGUGGAGAGCGACACGGAUGUGGAGGAGGAUCCAGAUGUGGCCGCAGAUCCAGAUGUGGAGCCCCCAAAAAGGCUCAAAAUGACCCAAAACCUCCCAGGAACUCCAGAUGUGGCCACAGAUCCAGAUGUUGCCAGCCCCAAAAUCCGGUGCCGGGUGGAGAGCGACACAGACGUGGAGGAGGAUCCAGAUGUGGAGCCCCCAAAAAGGCCCGGAACGCCCCAAAACGCGGCCGGGGAUCCAGAUGUGGCCGUCCCCGAGACAGAUGUGGAGGAGGAGGAGGAGGAGGAUCCAGAUGUUCGCCCCCCCAAGAGGCGGCGGAUGGCCCCGGGGCUGCCCGGGGCUCCAGAUGUGGCGGCGGGAGGGGAGGGGUGGGAUCCAGAUGUGGCCACCCAGCUGUUCCUGCCGCCCCCAAUUCCAGAUGUGGAGGGGGAGGAGGAACCCCCCGGAAUUCCAGAUGUGGAGGAGGAGUCGGAUCCAGAUGUGGAGGAGGGGUCAGAGUCGGAUCCAGAUGUGGAGGAGGGGUCAGAGUCGGAUCCAGAUGUGCCCACCCAGCCCUUCCUGCCCUCCCCAGAUGUUGGGAGCCCGGAAAGCCCCGGGAGGGCCCCGGGAGGCCCCGGCCUUCC